RNAcentral lists this long non-coding RNA (2230 nucleotides) under Xyrichtys novacula (pearly razorfish). Lineage: Eukaryota; Metazoa; Chordata; Actinopteri; Labriformes; Labridae. The record is from RNAcentral.
GUUUGCUCAUGUAAGGUUUGAGAAUUUAGCAGAGCAUGGACUGGUUUAGAAGUCAACGUUAUCAACUAGCAUGAUUAUACACACAUGCACAGACACACAAACACACACACAAACCAUGAACUCACUCAAACACACACACAUAGACUCACACACAUGUGCACACUCCAGUGCCCUCAUGCCCUGAGCCCUCCCUCCUUGUCCCUUUAUCCCUGUCUGGUUGGAAAGGUCAGUGCAUGUCUGGGAAAAGGGGGUCCCUGGAUCCCCAAACCCUGCCACUCCACACACACACAUGCACACACACACACACACACACACGGGGUCACAUAUGUAACUCCACAUUUUAAUAGGCACUUCUCCAUAACACAAGCACUGUGCACAAGUAUGUUUCACAUAAAAACACAGUAAACCUCUGCGUGUCAGUUAUGAGGGGACCUGAGAGAAAUGUAUCUGCACUGGUCAGCAUCAGCCGAGUCCCCCCCCCCCCUCUACCAGACAGUGCACCAGCCAAGUACCCCUCAACCCCCCCACCGCUCAACCUCUAUGAAAGACGAGAGUGAAUACAUUCAAAUGGAAAACAUGCUCUAUUGUGACCGAUGUUUUGUCUCCUCAUGAUGUAAAUAGCUACACUGGCCAGCGAACAGAGAUGUGCGGGCCAAGCUGAUAAAAACGCAGCAGCAGUGGUCGUUGAUGUCAUAUCCACUGUCAUGUGACAGGCGUGGGUUUAAGACACACUUUUGUAACACUAUUUUGACUCACUGGUUUGUGCUCACAAACUGGAGAAAAGUCCACAAACACACACACAGAGCACAUGUGUGUUUGUGGUGUUACAUGUUUGGGUGUCCAGCUGGAUCAUAUACUGUCUAGAUGUCCUCCUUCUCCUUUGCUCCUGGUGCAUCAGACACUGCCCUGUUCUUAAACACACACACACACACACACACACACACACACAGGAACGCACACAGGAACAUAGACAGCACAGUCUAGGAUAUGGAGGGAAACCCUCUGUAUCCUUCAUGAACCUCCUGACCUGAAGCCCAAUACAGCCAACCAGGACAGAGGGGGAGGGAAGAGAGGGAAGCUAAGGUUGGGAAGAAGGGUGAGACUGCGAGCCCAGCUGGGGUGGGGGAGGAGGAGAAAAAGCUCCCUCACCCUGUGCUCUCUGACCUGCAGCUAGGAGGGGGACUCGUCAUGUCUGGUCCACUACAUGGCUUCAGAUGAACUGUCCAGGGCUCGACACCAGAAGGAAGAGCUUCUCAGAACGGUGUGAAUUAAAUGUUGACUAACCUGAGUCCAUCAACUCGACUGCAUGACACACACCUCAAAACUGCUGUCUAUCUCUUUUAAACAGAGGAGAAGGAAAGAUGAUGAAACUGUGGAGGGACAUUUGCAAACUUCAUUAUAACAAAUGAUGUCACUGCUGUUUUACUACUAAAGACCUGUUGACUUAAAUUUCAUAAAACUAUAUAUUUAGUCCCGUCGUGUUAAUGAAAUCAACACACGUUCACACACAUUAACAGACUGUCUGAUAAAGUGUUUGAACAGGAAGAAGUAUGAAAGUACAAAGAUGGUCAGUUGUGGCGAUGGCUGAAGGUGCGCGGACGUCAAAAGUGUAACACCGGAGCUGAAGAUAGGGAUGAAGCGAAAUGCAACUUAUGAUGCAAAAAUAUUUUCCUGCAAAAGUGACACAACCACUACGGUUGAACACAUCAGUCUUGUGCAUCAAAUCAAAGUACCUGCAGUACUUUUGAAACAACUCUGUCAGCUCCUCAAAGCAGCCGGGAUAAAAACAGACAGAAGUCUCAUUAGUAAAAAAUCAUAAUCCAGUGUUGAAUUGGAUGUUUAAAAUCCAUGUUGAAAUUAGCAGGAUAAAAGUUGGUAAGCAAACUAACCAAAUGGCACACGAUGACUUUACAAGGUGUUCAAGGUCAGGUUGGAAAAAUGACAAUGAGGUGAACAUAAAUAAUACAUUAUCUAGAUGUGUUCAAGUGCCACGUCCAGAAAAUGAAAACUUUUUUGGUGAUCAAUCUGUAUACAAAAGAUACCCAAAAGAUACAAAAGUUAGAGGGAAAACUGUAUCAGGAAAGACUUGAUAGCGGUAUCGAUAAGGACUUGGAUUAUUAAAGAGUUUUGGUCAUGGCAUCAGUAUGAAUAAAUAUCGUGAAUUUGCUCUCUACCAAUAAAAGUUGUUGGUGAUAUUUCAUUCAGGAUCUUAGAACCAACCUUUGUAUUG